UCUGGGAUAAGCCUGGGAAACUGGGUCUAAUACCGGAUAUGACUCCUCAUCGCAUGGUGGGGGGUGGAAAGCUUUAUUGUGGUUUUGGAUGGACUCGCGGCCUAUCAGCUUGUUGGUGAGGUAAUGGCUCACCAAGGCGACGACGGGUAGCCGGCCUGAGAGGGUGACCGGCCACACUGGGACUGAGACACGGCCCAGACUCCUACGGGAGGCAGCAGUGGGGAAUAUUGCACAAUGGGCGAAAGCCUGAUGCAGCGACGCCGCGUGAGGGAUGACGGCCUUCGGGUUGUAAACCUCUUUCAGUAGGGAAGAAGCGAAAGUGACGGUACCUGCAGAAGAAGCGCCGGCUAACUACGUGCCAGCAGCCGCGGUAAUACGUAGGGCGCAAGCGUUAUCCGGAAUUAUUGGGCGUAAAGAGCUCGUAGGCGGUUUGUCGCGUCUGCCGUGAAAGUCCGGGGCUCAACUCCGGAUCUGCGGUGGGUACGGGCAGACUAGAGUGAUGUAGGGGAGACUGGAAUUCCUGGUGUAGCGGUGAAAUGCGCAGAUAUCAGGAGGAACACCGAUGGCGAAGGCAGGUCUCUGGGCAUUAACUGACGCUGAGGAGCGAAAGCAUGGGGAGCGAACAGGAUUAGAUACCCUGGUAGUCCAUGCCGUAAACGUUGGGCACUAGGUGUGGGGGACAUUCCACGUUUUCCGCGCCGUAGCUAACGCAUUAAGUGCCCCGCCUGGGGAGUACGGCCGCAAGGCUAAAACUCAAAGGAAUUGACGGGGGCCCGCACAAGCGGCGGAGCAUGCGGAUUAAUUCGAUGCAACGCGAAGAACCUUACCAAGGCUUGACAUGAACCGGAAAUACCUGGAAACAGGUGCCCCGCUUGCGGUCGGUUUACAGGUGGUGCAUGGUUGUCGUCAGCUCGUGUCGUGAGAUGUUGGGUUAAGUCCCGCAACGAGCGCAACCCUCGUUCUAUGUUGCCAGCGCGUUAUGGCGGGGACUCAUAGGAGACUGCCGGGGUCAACUCGGAGGAAGGUGGGGACGACGUCAAAUCAUCAUGCCCCUUAUGUCUUGGGCUUCACGCAUGCUACAAUGGCCGGUACAAAGGGUUGCGAUACUGUGAGGUGGAGCUAAUCCCAAAAAGCCGGUCUCAGUUCGGAUUGGGGUCUGCAACUCGACCCCAUGAAGUCGGAGUCGCUAGUAAUCGCAGAUCAGCAACGCUGCGGUGAAUACGUUCCCGGGCC
Molecule: ribosomal RNA, 1233 nt
Filed under: Arthrobacter glacialis
Lineage: Bacteria; Bacillati; Actinomycetota; Actinomycetes; Micrococcales; Micrococcaceae
Description: bacterial SSU rRNA
Rfam family: Bacterial small subunit ribosomal RNA
Source: RNAcentral